Molecule: long non-coding RNA, 2518 nt
Organism: Acinonyx jubatus (cheetah)
Lineage: Eukaryota; Metazoa; Chordata; Mammalia; Carnivora; Felidae
Exons: 2
Source: RefSeq, a predicted model, not a curated record
UCUCUCUCCCCCCCUCCCCCGCUCUCAUUCUGUGUGUGUCGCUCUCUCUCAAAAAUAAACAAGCAUUAAAAAAAAUAAAUGAAUAAAAAUAUGUUUGUUUCUUUUUAAAGCAGCAAGUUUCUUCUAAAUUCUGGAAGGCAGUAAAAUGAGGGACUUGGCUUUGAGACCUGCUUUUCUGUUGAUUAAAACAAUCCUAAAUCUGGGGGCACCUGGGUGGUUCAGUCAGUUAAGCGUCUGACUCUUGAUUUCCCCUCAGGUUGUGAUCUCUUGGGUUUGUGGGUUCGAGUUCUACUUUGGGUUCUGCGCUUACAGUGCAGAAACUGUUUGGAAUUGUGUCUCCCUCUUUCUGCCUCUCUCCCGCUUGCAUCCUCGCGCUCUCUCAAAAUAAAUAAACUUAAAAAACACCCCAACAAUCUUAAAUCAAAAUGGACCACUAGAGUGAUACUAAGAAGGACGAGAUAGGGUUUUGCCCACAUGACGUCUGUAGCAUUUGCGGUUUCUCUCGGGCUCUGCUUGCUUCUCCAAGAGUAAACCCAACUCACCGCGGUGAUUCUUGUGAUAGCAGCAGUGUCUCCCAGCUCUUCUUUUAACUGUUCAUACGAUUUCCCUGCCUGAAACAGAUACAAAACAGGACGCAGUGCUGUUUCUGCGGGGAGUGAUGCCUCAGGCCUAGGCUGUACCCUCAAGGAGAGCAAACAGGAUGCUCCCUCUACCUCUCUACUGAGCCUACUUGUCCUUGGAGAUUCAGCCUGGGAGCCAUCUCUUCUAAGGAGUCUUCUCUGAGUCCCUAAAUGGUGUUGCGUGCCCCUAAUUUGUGCUCCCGCGGCACCUCACACCCCCAUCAUAGCAAAAGGAUGUUUCUAUGUCCAGUUCCUCCAUCGGUCUGUAAACUCUGAGAGCAGGGGCCCUUCACCUUGGUGACACUACACCCACCGCAGGGACUGGCAUGAAGGAGGGGCUGAGUAUGUGUGCUGAGCUGAAUGUCAGGGAGGGGUUGCCCUGAAGAUAUCCCCUUUACAGCCCUAUAUUCCCUAAAAGGCCCAUAUCUCCGAGUGUGGAGCCUGUUGGCGGAAGAGAAAGGAGCGCCUGACGAUAAGAUGGCCUGAUUUUCCCAGGGCAAAGUGGGAAAAUCCCCAAGGCGGCAGUUCUAAACAACCUUCUGAUUUCUCCAUCCCUGGCAAAGAGUGGGCUCUUCCUUUGGUUACCCUUGACGAAUGUUUGGUUGACUCGAGGGUGGGCCAGAGCUACCCUGGGUUUAUCCUUGACAGGGGAGGCACUACACAAAAAAUAGCCUCAACUGUGGGGAUCUCUGCCACUCGUUCUCUGGCUGCGUCUUACCUGGUCCCAGGUAUCCAGGAGCAUCACAUCACCUGGGUUCAGGUCAUCCUGGGUGAAGUCUGUGAUCUCAGUGACAACGAACCGCCCUGUCUUAUUGGAACAUUCAAAGAGACGGGGCUGCGCAUCUAGGAUUUCCUGCUGUAGUCUGCAAUACAGUCCAUUCAGAGGAACUAAGCGACGUGGAAAUCAGGUUUUUAAAACAGAAAGGCAUCCUAGAGUUUGUGCAGUUCCCAAGCCUGGGCGGCAGGGGGAGCCCAGACGAGGGGGCGCUGUGUUUCCCUACCUUUUGUCAUUGGCGUAGGCAGUCUUGCCUCCCAGCAGGUCCCAGAACUCAGCCGGCUCCUGGCCCUCGGCCACAGUGUCCUCGGUGCCCUCGCAGAGAAGGCCGGCCAGCUCCUUGGCCAUUGCCCGCUCAUCCCCACUAGACCCCUGAGUGGGGUGAGGAGAGCACAGGGGUUAGUCGUACAUAGAUGCGUUGACGUAGGGGGCGAAGCCACACUGAGAGUGUCCUGGGAUCAGCUACCAAAGCCACAGCGCCUCAGGAGGGGGAGAGGGGUUUGUUCUAGUGCUGGGAGAGGAGGGGCGGGGGAGAGGAAAGCAGCGUGGUGGCAGAGAGCAGGACUGGACUCUGAAACCCACACAGAAGUCGGCAAGAGCCCCCUUGGUUUUAGCUUCACUUGGAAUUUUAGCACCGACUUCGGAUUCUUUUUUAAGAGAAAAAAACUUAAAUUUGAAAAGUUACUUAUUCAAGAAAAUUCACUCUUUUUGGUGUACACUUCUAUGAGCCUUGACAAACACACAGAAUCACGUUACCACCAUCAAAACGGAAGGUCUAGAACAUUUGCCUCAGCCCCGCCAAAAAUUCCCUCGGACUACCCCUCUGUGGUCAGAUGCUCCCCACGUCCUUAACCUCCGGCAACCGUCGGUCUGUUCUCCAUCACUACACUGUUGCCUUUUCCAGAAUGUUAUACACGGAAUCACGCACUGUGUAGCCUUUGAGGCUGGCUUCCUUAGCACAGCGCAUUUGAGAUUCAGCUUUGUCGUGAGUAUCAACAGCUUUUUUCUUUGCGUUGCCGAGAGGUAUUCUACUAUGAAUAGUAGUAUGAAUAUACCGCUGUUUUCAUUUUCUAGUUGAGUUGCUUCCAAUUUUGGGUGCUAGUGAAUAAAGGUGCUAUGCAUA